GUCCACGCCGUAAACGAUGAUAACUAGCUGUCCGGGCACUUGGUGCUUGGGUGGCGCAGCUAACGCAUUAAGUUAUCCGCCUGGGGAGUACGGUCGCAAGAUUAAAACUCAAAGGAAUUGACGGGGGCCUGCACAAGCGGUGGAGCAUGUGGUUUAAUUCGAAGCAACGCGCAGAACCUUACCAGCCUUUGACAUCCCGCGCUAACCCAAGAGAUUGGGUGUUCCCUUCGGGGACGCGGUGACAGGUGCUGCAUGGCUGUCGU
RNAcentral lists this ribosomal RNA (263 nucleotides) under uncultured bacterium. Its description in RNAcentral is "partial 16S ribosomal RNA". It matches the Rfam family "Bacterial small subunit ribosomal RNA", at positions 793 to 1055 of the family's 1533-position model. The record is from RNAcentral.